GCUGUGAUACAUCAGUAGUAGUAUAUUUAAAAGUAGCUGUGCUUUAUGAAAAGUUGAUACCUAUAAAGAAAUUUUAAAAACCAAGUCAAUCAGGAUCAUAAGGAAUUCCUUAAAACACAAAAAUGAGGUAACUCUUAAAACUUCCAGAAAAUGAUUUCACCAGUGACUUCCUUACAUGUUCUUGGUGCUUUUUGAAAUUAUUCAUUUUAGCAAAUAUUUGAUUAAUGUUUACUUGCAUCCAGUGAGAAUCAGUUAUCAUAUUAAAUCCAAUUUAAAGUUGUUUCAGGAAAUCAUUUUUCACUGAUCAGUAGAGGCUGAACUGGAAUAGAUAUGCAAUUUGGUGAGUUUGAUGAUCUUUUGCAAACAUUUCAAAUGCUAUUAUCAGUUAAUCUCUUAAUGAAUCUGUGCUAGAGUUCUUCAAAGGGUUUGGGAUAAAGAUGAAGGUGAAAAAAGUAGUAUUACUCUGGAUUGGAAAUUAGGAGACUUGGGUUCCAAGGCUUACUAAACCAUUACUUAGCUGUUUAAACUUUGGGGAAGCUAGGUUUUGUCUUUUGUUUUAAAGGAAUGAUGUAGACAGCCACUAACAGUCCUUAUUAGUAUUAAAAAGCCUAUUUGAGCAAUCAAGUUGAGUUGUGUAUGGUAAAAGCAGUAGGCUGGUCAUAGAAAUGAGAAUUUGUUAUUUGCCAUUCUGGCUACAAGAAACACUAAUCUGGUAUGUAACAAACGUUGUUGCCUAUAUCCCCCCUGCCACCCCAGGCAAGCCCAUGGAGGUGCACCCAGACCUGCCGUCAAUUGUCAGGGCCACAUCUUCCUGCUGGAGGACUUUCCUUGGUUUCUGACGUUGCUGAAUGAAGAGAGAGAGAACAGAAGAACAUUGUUGAUUUUAUUGGGAGUUCAUUCCUUCUGCGACUCACAUUAAACAAAUUUGUACAAUCUCCAUUAGAGACAAAAGAGAAACAACAACAACAGAACAAAAUAUAAAUAGUAGCUGGAAUCUGUGUAUUUAAUGCAGAAAGACUUUUCCUUUAUUUAAUCUGCCUUUUGUAAAGCUAAAGACCAGCAACUCUUUGCAGUUAGCCCGAUAAGCCGGUGUUGAACUGUGAGACUCUAUGAUUACUACAAACUCAAAAAUAUUUAUCUCCAUAUUAUUUCAUAGAAGACAAGGUGGGUAUGUGAAAUCAGAGGUUUGAAAAUCACAAGUUUAGACUCUUUUAGAUAAGCUCCCCUGGUUGUACAUUGUGUUCCUCCAUACCUCUGUCUCUCCAUGUAUGGCAUUUUAGUACUGUCUCCAGAAAAUAUUCUUAAAUAAUAUGAAACAAGUCAGAAAUUUGCCUUGAAAUAACUGACGACUCAUCUCUUCAAGAUUUGCAAGGACAUAUUUAUAUUUGGCACAUGCUAUAAAUAACAGCUGGCAAUUUUGCCACACCAUUUUUUUCACUCAUUUCUAC
This 1448-nucleotide long non-coding RNA is filed under the name Oryctolagus cuniculus (rabbit). Its description in RNAcentral is "lncRNA (ENSOCUG00000031776.1)". Lineage: Eukaryota; Metazoa; Chordata; Mammalia; Lagomorpha; Leporidae. The record is from RNAcentral.